UUUCGCAAUGCCCGAAAGGGUGACGAAGCGACGCCGCGUGUGGGAAGAAGGCCUUCGGGUUGUAAACCACUGUCGAGAGUUAGGAAAUGCAGGUGCGUUAAUAGCGCACUUGCUUGACUAAGGCUCCAGAGGAAGCCACGGCUAACUCUGUGCCAGCAGCCGCGGUAAUACAGAGGCGGCAAGCGUUGUUCGGAAUUAUUGGGCGUAAAGAGCACGUAGGCGGCCUUGCAAGUCAGUUGUGAAAGCCUUCCGCUUAACGGAAGAACGGCAUCUGAUACUACAGGGCUUGAGUACGGGAGGGGAGAGUGGAACUUCUGGUGGAGCGGUGAAAUGCGUAGAUAUCAGAAGGAACGCCGGCGGCGAAAGCGACUCUCUGGUCCGAAACUGACGCUGAGUGUGCGAAAGCUAGGGGAGCAAACGGGAUUAGAUACCCCGGUAGUCCUAGCCGUAAACGAUGGGCACUAAGUAGAGGGGUUUU
RNAcentral lists this ribosomal RNA (478 nucleotides) under uncultured anaerobic ammonium-oxidizing bacterium. RNAcentral describes it as "bacterial SSU rRNA". It matches the Rfam family "Bacterial small subunit ribosomal RNA", at positions 364 to 832 of the family's 1533-position model. The record is from RNAcentral.